UACGUAGGUGGCGAGCGUUAUCCGGAAUUAUUGGGCGUAAAGAGCGCGCAGGUGGUUGAUUAAGUCUGAUGUGAAAGCCCACGGCUUAACCGUGGAGGGUCAUUGGAAACUGGUCAACUUGAGUGCAGAAGAGGGAAGUGGAAUUCCAUGUGUAGUGGUGAAAUGCGUAGAGAUAUGGAGGAACACCAGUGGCGAAGGCGGCUUCCUGGUCUGUAACUGACACUGAGGCGCGAAAGCGUGGGGAGCAAACAGGAUUAGAUACCCCGGUA
RNAcentral lists this ribosomal RNA (269 nucleotides) under uncultured prokaryote. RNAcentral's name for it is "partial 16S ribosomal RNA". It matches the Rfam family "Bacterial small subunit ribosomal RNA", at positions 524 to 792 of the family's 1533-position model. The record is from RNAcentral.